Onychostruthus taczanowskii (white-rumped snowfinch) is the source of this 438-nucleotide long non-coding RNA. RefSeq lists it as uncharacterized. Lineage: Eukaryota; Metazoa; Chordata; Aves; Passeriformes; Passeridae. The record is from RefSeq and is a predicted model, not a curated record. The transcript has 3 exons.
CCGGUGGCCGUGGGCGCUUCCCGGCGGAGCGGCCGCGCCACCCCCGUGCCCGCUCCCGCGGGCGGCGGAGGCUGGGCUCAGCCGAUCCACAACCCCCCCGUAUCAUUUCUCAUCGCCCAGCGCCGAGCAGGCUGUUCCUGUAAAGUUGCAGGCGUCUCCUUAAAAAUCCAGAAUGAAUCUGAAGACAUGAAAAAACACAGUAUAGUGUAACAAGGAAGAAACAGUACUGAGGUCUGACCUUGGUGGAUUAUUCAUGUGCUUGAAGUUACACAAGUAUUUUGUUCUGCUUACCACAGUGACUGGAGCAAAGGAAGAAAGACUGGGUUGACAGCAAUUCCUUGAAAGAGCAGUGCAACAUGAAAUUACAGAGCCAACGCCCACGGAGCACCUCUUUAGCCGCAGGCCAGGAAGUCUCUGCUGAGAAAGGCAAUCUUUUAA